RNAcentral lists this unclassified non-coding RNA (323 nucleotides) under soil metagenome. RNAcentral describes it as "partial contains 5.8S ribosomal RNA, internal transcribed spacer 2, and large subunit ribosomal RNA". The stretch from base 1 to 119 matches the Rfam family "5.8S ribosomal RNA", at positions 36 to 154 of the family's 154-position model. The record is from RNAcentral.
AUGAAGAACGCAGCGAAAUGCGAUAAGUAGUGUGAAUUGCAGAAUUCAGUGAAUCAUCGAAUCUUUGAACGCACAUUGCGCCCCUUGGUAUUCCAUGGGGCAUGCCUGUUCGAGCGUCAUUUGUACCUUCAAGCUUUGCUUGGUGUUGGGUGUUUGUCCCUCGGGACUCGCCUUAAAGUCAUUGGCAGCCAGUGUUUUGGUUUUGAAGCGCAGCACAAGUCGCGAUUCAAGGCUAUCCGCCCGCUUCCACAAGCCUUUUUCACUUUUGACCUCGGAUCAGGUAGGGAUACCCGCUGAACUUAAGCAUAUCAAUAAGCGGAGGA